RNAcentral lists this ribosomal RNA (551 nucleotides) under Bifidobacterium longum subsp. infantis. Its description in RNAcentral is "bacterial SSU rRNA". It matches the Rfam family "Bacterial small subunit ribosomal RNA", at positions 146 to 710 of the family's 1533-position model. Lineage: Bacteria; Bacillati; Actinomycetota; Actinomycetes; Bifidobacteriales; Bifidobacteriaceae. The record is from RNAcentral.
UCUCCUGGAAAACGGGUGGUAAUGCCGGAUGUUCCAGUUGAUCGCAUGGUCUUCUGGGAAAGCUUUCGCGGUAUGGGAUGGGGUCGCGUCCUAUCAGCUUGACGGCGGGGUAACGGCCCACCGUGGCUUCGACGGGUAGCCGGCCUGAGAGGGCGACCGGCCACAUUGGGACUGAGAUACGGCCCAGACUCCUACGGGAGGCAGCAGUGGGGAAUAUUGCACAAUGGGCGCAAGCCUGAUGCAGCGACGCCGCGUGAGGGAUGGAGGCCUUCGGGUUGUAAACCUCUUUUAUCGGGGAGCAAGCGUGAGUGAGUUUACCCGUUGAAUAAGCACCGGCUAACUACGUGCCAGCAGCCGCGGUAAUACGUAGGGUGCAAGCGUUAUCCGGAAUUAUUGGGCGUAAAGGGCUCGUAGGCGGUUCGUCGCGUCCGGUGUGAAAGUCCAUCGCUUAACGGUGGAUCCGCGCCGGGUACGGGCGGGCUUGAGUGCGGUAGGGGAGACUGGAAUUCCCGGUGUAACGGUGGAAUGUGUAGAUAUCGGGAAAGAACACC